GCCCAGAGAAAUUUGGAUUAAUACCCCGUAACAUGACCGAGUGGCAUCACUUGGUUAUUAUAGCUUCGGCGCUAAAUGAUGGGUGUGCGUAUGAUUAGAUAGUUGGCGAGGUAACGGCUCACCAAGUCUACGAUCAUUAGCUGAUGUGAGAGCAUGAUCAGCCACACGGGCACUGAGACACGGGCCCGACUCCUACGGGAGGCAGCAGUAAGGAAUAUUGGUCAAUGGACGCAAGUCUGAACCAGCUAUGCCGCGUGAAGGAUUAAGGUCCUCUGGAUUGUAAACUUCUUUUAUCUGGGACGAAAAAAGGUCUUUCUAGACCCCUUGACGGUACCAGAUGAAUAAGCACCGGCUAACUCCGUGCCAGCAGCCGCGGUAAUACGGAGGGUGCAGGCGUUAUCCGGAUUCACUGGGUUUAAAGGGUGCGUAGGCGGGUAGGUAAGUCAGUGGUGAAAUCCUGGAGCUCAACUCCAGAACUGCCAUUGAUACUAUCUAUCUUGAAUAUUGUGGAGGUAAGCGGAAUAUGUCAUGUAGCGGUGAAAUGCUUAGAUAUGACAUAGAACACCCAUUGCGAAGGCAGCUUACUACGCAUAUAUUGACGCUGAGGCACGAAAGCGUGGGGAUCAAACAGGGUUAGAUACCCUGGUAGUCCACGCCCUAAACGAUGGAUACUCGACAUACGCGAUACACUGUGUGUGUCUGAGCGAAAGCAUUAAGUAUCCCACCUGGGAAAGUACGUUCGCAAGAAUGAAACUCAAAGGAAUUGGCGGGGGUCCGCACAAGCG
RNAcentral lists this ribosomal RNA (785 nucleotides) under uncultured bacterium. Its description in RNAcentral is "bacterial SSU rRNA". It matches the Rfam family "Bacterial small subunit ribosomal RNA", at positions 146 to 931 of the family's 1533-position model. The record is from RNAcentral.